CAGCCGCGGUAAUACGGAGGGUGCGAGCGUUAAUCGGGAAUUACUGGGCGUAAAGCGCAUGCAGGUGGUUUGUUAAGUCAGAUGUGAAAGCCCGGGGCUCAACCUCGGAAUUGCAUUUGAAACUGGCAAACUAGAGUACUGUAGAGGGGGUAGAAUUUCAGGUGUAGCGGUGAAAUGCGUAGAGAUCUGAAGGAAUACCGGUGGCGAAGGCGGCCCCCUGGACAGAUACUGACACUCAGAUGCGAAAGCGUGGGGAGCAAACCAGGAUUAGAUACCCUCGGUAG
This 284-nucleotide ribosomal RNA is filed under the name uncultured bacterium. RNAcentral describes it as "partial 16S ribosomal RNA". It matches the Rfam family "Bacterial small subunit ribosomal RNA", at positions 512 to 793 of the family's 1533-position model. The record is from RNAcentral.